UUCAUUUCGAAAUUUUUAAUCCAUACACUACACAUAGAACACACGUACAAUUGCUUCUUCAAAACACUCUACUAAAAAGAGAUCCAAAAAACUAGCCAAAACAAUAUAUAUAGAACACAUGUACUAUUGCUUCUUCAAAACACUAUGUUCUCCACUACAAAAAAAGAGAUCCGAAAAUCUAGCCAAUACAAUUAAAUGAAGAACCUGUAUACAUGUACCUGCAAGAACAAAAAACCAGCCAAAUCAUUUAUCAGUCUCCUUCACCAAGUUUGGGGGAUAUUGAACUUGCAUUUGCUCUCUUUGGGGGAAAAAUAAUAAUAAUAAAUAAAUAUAUAUAUAUAUAUAUAUAUAUAUAUAAAUAUAUAUAUAUAUAUAUAUAAAUGAAAUACCGCCUCAUUUAGAGUCGGAAAGUAAUAGCCUUAAAUAGAUAUCCAACAUUAAACGGAAGAAAGAGAGCUAGACUUACAUGUUCAUCAAGAACUUGUGCUAUUUCGAGCAGCUGCAUCACAAAUAAAAAACAGUUUCUGGAUAUAGUUUCCAGAACCGCAAAUAAAUACGGUGGUUCCCAAAUUUCUUUUAUGAAAAGCUACAAGUUGGACGGGAAAAAAAUAUAAUCCAUUGAACUAUAUUUACAACGGCUCUACAGCUCAUCAUCACUCACAAAAAAGAUCUCCAUCAACCAAAGUCACCAACAAUAUUUCAGAAUUUUUUUUCAUUAAGUGUAAAUAUAAAAACUCAAACCAAAAAUAUAUAUCUUCAUAUAGGCCAGGCAGACCAUAUUCUAAGAUUUGACACAAAAAGUCUCGUGGAAAUGAGGCAUCAUUUUUGCAACCAAAGACAAUACCAUUCAACAUUGAAUUGUUUUUAACAAGUCUAAAUGUUGAGGCCUUGCAAGCCAUCAAACUGACCAUAUUAAACCUCCAACAAACACACUUUCUGCAGUAUUAGGCAGAAAAAUAUUCCCAUUCCCUUGCAAGCCAUCAAACUGACCAUAUUAAACCUCCAACAAACACACUUUCUGCAGUAUUAGGCGGAAAAAUAUUCCCAGUCCGACCAAACAAUAAAAUUCUCUUCCCAUAACAAUCCAAAACCGGGGUACUAAAUGAAGAUUAUAAUCUGACACAAUCCCUCAAAAAUGAUAGUGACUCUGUAAUCAAACUAGCGAGGCAAAAUCUCAUAAACAAGAAUUACUGAUUUAUUUAGAUGAAACUCGAUUCUUCCACAGAGCCAACAAAAAGCACAGUUGAUAUGAUCCGAGAUAGGCCGCAAAUUGUCAAGGACUUAACGAAUGUUAACAAGAGGGCAUGACCAAGAUUCGAGUUCAAUUUCGAGCCAACAAGGCCACACAAACACUUAUUCAAGCUAUGUAGUUCAAAAUGUUGAAGUUUGCAAGCCAAAGAUUAAGUUACAUGUUGAACGUGGAAGGUGGAAAGGAGUGGAACAGCCUAGGCCAUCAAGGGACGGAGGAACCUAAAGUGGCUACUAUGCGACCGCAUAGUGGCACAAGCCAUGCGGUCGCAUGGCUCCAACCUGAGAGCAAUUCAACAGCAAGAAGAUGUUCCAUGCGACCGCACAAAAUAACACCAUGCGGUCGCACAGUAUAAAUUCGGGGAAAAAAAAUUUCUUUUCGCACGAGUUUCCUAUCUUCAUUAUAACUCUAGUCUUUUAAUAUUUUUUACCAUAUUUUGAACUUAUUUGUUUUAAGGAUUUCAUAUAAAUAGGAAUUCUUAUUUCCAUUGUACACAACUUUGAUAAUUUUGAGAGAAUUAUACAAGGGACUGUUUUGCUUCCACUUUUCUUGUUCUUCAUUGAACAAAUCAAACUUAUCAAGAAAUUAGUUUCUUGUGGUGUUCACAAAUCGGGGUGAGGUUCAAUCAUUGUGUAAUCAAGAGGUUGAUAAAUUCCACUUUAUUAGUUGCUUGGUUCAUAGUUUUUGGAUUAAUUCCAAACCUUGAAUCUUUGGCAUUCUUGGGAUUGGGUUUCAAUCUAGUUGUGGAUUUCGUAGCCGUCGUUGCUACGUGGGUUCACAUCAGCUGAUAUCAGAGUUUAGGCUCAAAAAUCAAGAUUAUAUCUUUUCUUUUGAUUUUGUUGAGCCUUUUGAUCUUUUUUUCAUUGUUCUUCGCGUUCUUCAUAUUUUUCCAUUUUGUGUGAGUCUGUGAUCCAUAAAAAUCCUGUCAAAAUUCCAAAAGUUUUUUUUGGACUAAUUAAGUAUCCAAAUCAAUUUCCAUUUGUUUUGUUGGUGUUGUAGUCAAGUUUUCUAUCAAAAGAGUCAAAAAAAAGGUAAAAAAAAAAACCGAAAAAAAAAAAAAAAUUGUUGUUUGAUUUAUCAUGAAAAUCUUAAAGCAUUUGGUUGAAAGUAUUAAGCGGAAAAAGGCCGGGUGGUGAGAUCAAUAGAGGGUAAAUGCCAAGAAUUGAGUGAUACACGAGUGAAAUAUAAGUGAGGCAGAAAUAAUUAUAGAAUUUAGGAUGUCUGACAAGGAAUGAUCAAAUUCAAGCAGGAUCGACAAUCAAAUCAACAUGCCUGACGAUGCAGAGGUUUGAGAGAUUGUUAGCAAAAAUGGCUGAUAGAUUGGAUAGGCUUGAUACAUCGAUUACCAAUCUUAGCAGGGGGCAACGAGCUGAAUUACCUAAUGCAAGGAGACCGGGUAGAUCCUACCUAGAUUGGAGAUGCAGGAUAAGUAUGGAUACAGUAGUGAUCUGGAUGAGGAGGCAUUAAUGGAAAAUGAAAUGGGAAGAAUGAGGGAUAGAAGCGAUAGGUUUGAGAGACGGGAUAGGAAUAAUGUUAGUCAUGAAGUGGAUAGAGGCAUGGGCAACAUAAAAAUGUCCAUUCCACCAUUCAAGGGAAGAAGUGAUUUGCAUCUAAAGUGGAGAAAAAGGUAGAGCUGAUUUUAAUUUUUAAGUCAAUCUAUAAAUAAUCACAUUUUUAAGAGAAAAGCAUGUAAUUCAAAUACUUCCUCUCAAAUAGCUACUUUCCCUCUCAUUCCAAGUUUGAGCAUCAAAACUAGUGAAUUAAGGAGGAGAAAAUCUUAGUUAAAUGAGAGGAUUUGUUAAUUCGAUUUUUAUCAUCAACAAUGUGGAAUCUGGAUGAUGAAUGGGGACACUAAAAUAUUUAGUUGAAAGUAGAAAUAGAUUUGAAAUUGGAAAACAAAAAUAUAAUAUAGUAAUCCUGGAUUACAAUUACUUGUCUUUAAGAGAAAAAAAGCAUGUAAAAUCAUUCCAUUAUUCAGUUAUCCAAACUAGCGGGAAUUAACUGCAUCACUAUUCACUACACUUCCCUACUAACACUCUCAGAUGCAUAGACACUUCAAUUAGCCAAUGCAUCACUACCAAACCAGCAGAAAUUAACUGCGUCUACAUCCACAGAUAAACACGCAAUCAGUUUAUAGAUACUUCAAUUUCAAAAUAUUUGAGCCUGUAUUAUUCAAUGUGCAAAUAUGGGACCCAUAAGGUUAUAUAUGCUAUUCAAUACAAUUAAUAAAGAAAAUUUUCUACAAAUCUGUUCUUGUUUAGCACAACUUGCUCUGAUAAAGAAACUUCAACAAAGUGAGGCAAGACAAAAUAAGAUGUAAAUGUAAAUCACCAGACUUCUGGUUCUGAGAGUCUAGAGAUGCAGCAGCGUUAUCAAGAUUGCAUAGAACAAUUGACCGGGCAAAUCCACAGGUUCAUAUCCUCUCUGUCUCCAUACUGGCACAAUAAGUUUGGAGUAAGCAUGAUAAUUAUCAAGCCACUCACUUCUUUUGAUAUAAAUUGAAGGUGUCAACCCCUUGUGGUCAUGAAUCUCGUGUGAUCUUCUUAAUAAGCGAACAGAAAAAUAGAGCAGAAAACCUAAUAAUGUGAAUCAUCCUCUGUUAGACAUCACGUUGUCAAACGACCUCCCGAGCGAAGAUGAAAACCAGUUUUAUCAGUCGACAUGAAUGACUGAACGAUAAAUCAACACCGAAUAAUGGGAUAACCCGACCUAACGUUGUUUUACCUAUUGGAUGGCUAAUAACCUUUGUGGCUUGUUGGUGUGCUAUUGGGCCAUAACCCUAGUCGAGCCUACUUACCAUAUGUAUAACUUACCUUAAGUUUGUCAUUGGACUAUUAUAUAUAUUGGUAACUCUCUUUCUUCCUAUGAGUCCCGUUUUGAUAGAACCCGAGAGAGAGGCAGUCCCUUCUUCUUCUUCGUGCAUCCUAUUGAUUGAUCUUCUCUACUUCUUGCUUGAGUCUUUGUGACCCUUACCUGUGUGGCAUUCAUCCUAAGUGAGUGAGGAAACAACAAGCAAAAGGAGCAAUAGCAACCAUAGGAAAAAAGCACGCCGGCAGUCGGUCCCUUUCGGUUUCUUUGUGUUGAUUCGAUGUUUAAAGGUUAAAUGAGCCCGGAAAUCACCUUGAGCAGCUAGAGGAAGAUCCUAACAUCUGGUAUCAGAGCUUGGUUGGCAAAAAAAAGGGCUCAAAAUCGGUUGAUUUUCGCGUAUUCAACAUAGUACCCGAAUCUGAAAUUCUUCAAUUACUCACAAACCAAAACUCGGUUGGACAAACGGAGGCCAUACCCAUUACCAGCAGGUCGAGGCGCCCCUGGUGAUGCGGCGCGUGGGCGGUGUGGGCGGCACGGCGGCGGCGCAUGGGCGGCAGUCCGGCGAAGCUAUCUUCAGGUAACUUGCUUCUUUCGAUCUCCUGAACGCGCUGAUAUACUUUCUUUUGUGUUUCAGGUUACACAGAAAAAGUUGGACGAUUUUGCCCCUGGUGCGACGCCGCUGAAAUUGAACAGCAAGCUCGUUUUUCUCCACUCUAUGAACUCAGAUAGGUCUACUCUGGUAAAUUGGCUUAAUUCAUUUAAAUUCAGCAAUAGCAAGAUCAUCGUGUGGGGUGAUCAUUAGGUUUUGGGGUUACCGUGAAGGGGUAACCAUUGCUUGUGCUAGAACUAGGAUUACUUGCGUUAAUUGAGUGCUUGUUCUUUUGAUUUAAAGUGCUUGGUAUUUCUUGGUGAACGUAGCGUUUAAGUUCAUUGUUACUUUUGCUAAGAAUUAACAAGAUAUUACCUUAUCACGCUUCCCAAUACUACUUCGUGUGGUUUAAUUAGUGUGUUAACCAAUGAUAACACAUAAUUUUGAUUUGGGAAUAUUUAACGGUAAAGGGGACUUCUCUAUCUGGAAACAAAAGAUAAGAGGCAUAUUAGUCCAACAAAAGGUGUCAAAAGCCAUCAAAGGCAAUUUUGCACCUGACCUCAAAAGAACAAAAAGAGGAAGCCGAUGAGCUUGCCUAUACCUCAAUAAUAUUACACUUGUCUGACGCUGUCUUAAAAAAAGUGGGAAAACUAAAAACCACCAAAGAACUUUGGAAAAGACUAGAAGACUUAUACUUGCUUAAAUCUACACCGAAUAAACUCUACCUACUCGAACGAUUCUUCAGCUUUAAGAUGGAUCCUUCAAAGGAUAUCGACGACAAUUUAGAUGUAUUUAACAAAUUGGUGCAAGAUAUUGUCAAUUGUGACGAAGCCGUGUCUGAGACCUAUAAGGCUAUAAUCUUACUCAAUUCAAUCUCGGACUCUUAUAAAGAAGUUAAAAAUGCCAUUAAGUAUGGUAGGGACACGUUAACACCUGAAAUUGUCGUAGAUUCUCCUAGGAGUAAGGAGAUGGAAAUGAGGGCUGAAAAAUAGGAUAGGAAGAGUGGAGAGUUGAAUAUGAUGCGUGGUAGAACUCAAUUUAGGCAAGUCAGUCAUGAUGGAUACCAAAGUAGUGGCGAAUCAAGUAGUAAUAGUUGGAAAAAGAAUGAGAAUGGUAGACCUAGGUCAAAGUCUAGAACUAAGGCUAGAAAAUGCUAUGGCUGUGGAGGCACAGGGCACUUUAUAAAAGACUGUCAUAAAGAAAAGGGAAAACAAAAGGUUAAGAAAAGAGAUGAGGUAAAUGUGUUAUCCUCUACCUCCGAUACCCAAAACGGCGAAGUCUAUGUGAUUACUAGUCCAGUCGCAUACACUACUGAAUUGAAUCUAACUACUAAUUCUCACAUGCAUGAAUGGAUAUUAGAUUCUGGUGCGUCUUUUCAUGUGACGUCUGAAAAGAACUGGUUUGAAAACUUGCAAGAAUCUAAUGAUGGGCAAGUAGUUCUGUGUGAUAACUUUGCCUAUACAAUUGUUGGAAUUGGAGAUAUAAAGAUAAAAUUUAACACGGGCUUUGUGUACAUGUUAAAGGAAGUUAGAUACAUCCCUGAAUUAUCUAGGAAUUUGAUUUCAGUAGGAAGACUUGAGAAAGACAACUUCACCGGUAAAAUUGGAAACGAUAUGUUUAAAAUGAUGAAGGGUGCGUUAAUCUCUAUUAAGGGAAUCAAGAAAAACGAUAUUUACAUCACUACUGGGGAAGUAAUUAGAGGAUUAAACUCCUCUAUUUCUUCCGCCAAAAUCGAUUACACACAUACGUGGCAUAGUAGGCUUGCACACGUAGGCAUUAAGGGACUUAAGCUACUUAAUGAAAAAGGUGCAUUUGGUAAUGACUGUGUGUCUAACCUAUCGUUCUGUGAUCACUGUGUACUCGGAAAGCACCAUAGAGUUCUGUGAUCACUAGUACGCAUAAGGCUAAAAGCAUGCUUGAAUAUGUGCAUUCUGAUAUGUGGGGUCCUACUAGUAAUCCCCACAUCGGAUGGGAAUAGGUAUUUCCUAUCUAUCAUAGAUGACUACACCGGGAAAGUGUGGGUCUAUCUAUUGAAAGACAAAACUGAAACCUUCCAUAACUUUAACAACUGGAAGAAACAAAUGGAAAACCAAACUAGCAAGAGGAUCAAAUUUUUAAGGACAGAUAACGGCCUAGAAUUCUGUAAUGCUGAAUUCGAUAGGAUGUGUAAAGAAAGUGGAAUAACAAGGCACAAAACGGUUCCUUAUACUCCCCAGCAAAACGGGGUAGCAGAAAGAAUGAAUAGGACCAUACUAGAUAAAGUGCGCUGCAUGAUGUUAAGCUCUGGGAUUCCUAAGUCAUUUUGGGGUGAAGCCGUUGUAACUGCCUGUUAUCUGAUAAAUUUGACUCCAUCGGCUGCAUUAAAUGGUGAUACUCCACAUGAGAAAUGGUCUGGAAAAUUGGGUGACUACUUAAUACUUACAGCGUUUGGCUGUGCUGUUUUCUCUCAUCAAAGUGAGGGAAAAUUAGAACCUAGAGUCAGGAAGUGUGUCUUUCUAGGAUAUCCCGAAGGAGUUAGCCAAAAAGGAGUUAAGAUCAUCGUGAGUAGGGAUGUCACAUUUAAUGAGAGUGAGAUGCCUCGUCUAAGGAACGAAACCGAACCUGUAAGUGAAACUGAAUCAGGUGAAGAAAGAAAUCGGUUUAAGGCCGAGUUAGGAAAAUUUAACACAUCAGUACCUAGUACUUCGAGUGAGGUGGAGAUUCAGGUCCAAGAACUUGAAGAGGAAAAUGAAAUAGUGAUAGAAGAGCAUCCUGAGGAAGAAAAUCCAUUAGCUAACUAUAAUUUAGUUAGAGAUAGAGAGAGAAGACAAACGAGAGAACCUAGGAGGUUCGGGUUUGAAUCUGAAUUGGAUUUUGCAUACGCUAGUUACGAAGAACUAGUUGAUAGGGAGCCGGAAACUUUUGAAGAGGCUAUGAAUAGUGGUCAAUCUAAGGAGUGGCUUAAGGCUAUGAAAGAAGAGAUGAGUUCUCUAGAAAAGAAUCAAACUUGGGAGUUAGUACCGAGACCUAAGAAUAAAUCAAUCGUUGAUUGCAAGUGGGUCUUUAAGGUUAAGGAAGGUACUAGUAGUACAGAACCCUUAAGAUUUAAGGCUAGGUUAGUAGCGAAGGGUUACACACAGAAAGAAGGUGUUGAUUAUAACGAGAUUUUCUCACCAGUUGUCAAGUACACUACUAUUAGGGUCAUGCUCGCAUUGGUUGCACUCUUUGACUGGGAACUUGAACAACUCGAUGUAAAAAUCGUUUUUUUACAUGGAGAGCUUGAUGAACAAAUCUUUAUGAAUCAACCAAAAGGUUUUAAAGACAAAUUAAAACCUGAUUAUGUGUGUUUUCUGAAAAGAUCCCUAUACGGUCUAAAGCAAUCACUUAGACAGUGGUACAAGAGGUUUGAUUCCUUUGUACUCACUAUAGGAUUUCAAAGAAGUAAAUUCGAUCACUACCUAUACUUUCAACACAACGAGACUGAUAACAAUUAUUUGUUCUUGUUGCUCUAUGUGGACGACAUGCUUUUAGUUGGAUCAUCUCCUAAGUGGAUAAACAAUAUAAAAGCAAAUCUUAGUGGAAAAUUUGACAUGAAAGACUUAUGAAAGGCUAAAAGGAUUCUAGGCAUGGAAAUAGAAUGAAAUAGGUCAAAUUUCAUCGCAUUCUUGCAUCAGUCUCCGUACAUAUCAAAGGUGUUGAAAAUGUUUAAUAUGAGUGACUGCAAACCUGUCACGUUGCCUCUUGCAAACCAUUUUGUUUUAUCUAAAGAACAAGCUCCCUGCAAUGAACGUGAAGUGGAAUACAUGAGUAAAAUUUCAUACUCAAAUGUGAUUGGUUCCAUAAUGUAUUUGAUGGUUUACACUAGACCGGACUUAGGAUUCGCUGUUAGUACUCUCAGUAGGUACAUGUCUAAUCCAAGUCCUGAACAUUGGGAGGCAUUAAAGUGACUUUUAAGAUAUUUGAAGGGUACAAGUGACGUAGGUCUAAAAUUUAGUGCUAAUAAGGAAGGCGUGAAAUUAAAGGAUUUUGUAGAUGCUGACUAUGCAGGAGAUAGGGAUGGUAGGAAAUCAACUUCCUCUUACGUAUUCACCUUAUCAAAUUCGUGUGUUAGUUGGAAAUCACAGUUACAACACAUAGUUGCACUAUCCACUACAGAGUCAGAAUAUAUUGCCACCACUGAAGCAAUUAAAGAGGCUCUAUGGCUUAGAGGUCUACUUCAUGAACUGAGUGUCUUGAAUGAGUAUGUGGUUAUGUAUUCUAAUAGUCAGUCAUCCAUACAUCUGUGUAAGAAUCCUGUUUUUCACGAACGCACUAAAUAUAUCGAUGUUAGGUUACACUUCAUUAGGGAUAAGAUAUCACAAGAAGUAGUAAGACUUGAAAAAAUUCACACACAAUAUAAUCCUUCAGAUAUGGGCACGAAAGUGCUGCCACUGGUAAAGUUUAAAAGUUGCAAGGAGCUUCUAAACAUCGGUACAGGUAAAUGAUUUCCAAUUUUAUCGGUUUUCUGUUAGAGGUCUCACUAAUGGAAAACGUUUUUCUUUGCAGGUCCUUUGACACCAAGGUGGAGGUUGUUAGACAUCAUGUUGUCAAACGACCUCCCGGGCGAUGAUGAAAACCAGUUUUAUCAGUCGACAUGAAUGACUGAACGAUAAAUCAACACCGAAUAAUGAGAUGACCCGACCUAACGUUGUUUUACCUAUUGGAUGGCUAAUAACCUUUGUGGUUUGUUGGUGUGCUAUUGGGCCAUAACCCUAGUCGAGCCUACUUACCAUAUGUAUAACUUACCUUAAGUUUGUCAUUGGACUAUUAUAUAUAUUGGUAACUCUCUUUCUUCCUAUGAGUCUCGUUUUGAUAGAACCCGAGAGAGAGGCAGUCCCUUCUUCUUCUUCGUGCAUCCUAUUGAUUGAUCUUCUCUACUUCUUGCUUGAGUCAUUGUGACCCUUACCUGUGUGGCAUUCAUCCUAAGUGAGUGAGGAAACAACAAGCAAAAGGAGCAAUAGCAACCAUAGGAAGAAAGCACGCCGGCGGUCGGUCCCUUUUGGUUUCUUGGUGUUGAUUCGAUGUUUAAAGGUUAACUGAGCCCGGAAAUCACCUUG
Molecule: long non-coding RNA, 9721 nt
Filed under: Olea europaea subsp. europaea
Lineage: Eukaryota; Viridiplantae; Streptophyta; Magnoliopsida; Lamiales; Oleaceae
Source: RNAcentral